UAUUGGCUGUCGGCAAUAGCUUUUCCAGUUGAUUGGACAGAGUGGAUGCCCAUCAGAGUCACGCUGAGGGACCACGGGAAACAAAACUGGGGGAAAGCGACUUUCUUCCGGAAAGUCGCCAAGGGGGCCAGCAGGGAUGCCCAGGGAUGGCGGGGAAAGGYGCUGGGCGGGGUUUCGUCUGUUCUGCGGAACGCCGGGAAGGGGUCACUUCUAGACGAAGGUUCCGGUUCCGAAGUCGGCUGCCGGGGGUUGCCAUGGCGACGCGGCGGGCAGUCGAUCCGGCUCUAGCCGAAUCCCGAAAGUCGGAAGCACUAGGGCAGGGGGGCCCUCGCUUCUCCAGCCCCGGUGCUGUCGCCUGCGCGGUCGCUGGACUUCGGGCCUCGCCGGUCCUCCAGCCCAGCUGAGUCAGCGCUCAAGCCUGGGCUGGGCAAGGGUUGCUGAAUGGAGAACUCAAACAGGGAGGAGCUGCCAGGCGCCCGCGGCCCGGCGCUCGGAAGCUCCCGCCGGCGAUCACGUGCACCUGCGAGUUCAAGACCAGGCUGGGCGGCCUAGCGUGACCCGGUCMGGAAAAGAAAAAAUCCAUUAAUUCCGGAUAAGUCAGAGGAAGGAGCAUCAUGGGAAGAAAUAUAUAGAAAAUGCUGUUAACGCUGAGUUGACUGUUGUUUCAAAGUCAGAAGGUGUCCUUAACAAUACAGAAUGUAUUAAUUUCCUUCCAAAAUCAACUUUUAUUCAUGUAUAUAUUGGAGUAAGUUUCUUACUUAAAAAUUUUUGAUAAUUUGUUCCUGAAAACCUACAUUGUUUUUUAUUUAAACUGUCUUAAUUCUGUUUUUGUAUUGACUAAGAGAGGGAGAAGAAUUCACAAACUGUGUUCUGAGGAUCUGAGACAGAGUAGUAAUGGGAACAUAUAUGUAGACCACACACACUCUGUGUUUUCAUAUAUU
Molecule: long non-coding RNA, 941 nt
Organism: Urocitellus parryii (Arctic ground squirrel)
Lineage: Eukaryota; Metazoa; Chordata; Mammalia; Rodentia; Sciuridae
Source: RefSeq, a predicted model, not a curated record